GGAUGAGCCAAUAUGAAUCCUUAAGACG
This 28-nucleotide non-coding RNA is filed under the name Rattus norvegicus (Norway rat). Lineage: Eukaryota; Metazoa; Chordata; Mammalia; Rodentia; Muridae. The record is from RNAcentral.